Molecule: ribosomal RNA, 480 nt
Filed under: uncultured bacterium
Lineage: Bacteria
Description: bacterial SSU rRNA
Rfam family: Bacterial small subunit ribosomal RNA
Source: RNAcentral
CUGGCUCAGGACGACGCUGGCGGCGUGCCUAACACAUGCAAGUCGAGCGAGGAGAUCCUCGGGAUGAUCCUAGCGGCGGACGGGUGAGUAACACGUGGGCAACCUGCCUCAUAGAGAGGAAUAGCCUUCCGAAAGGGAGAUUAAUACCUCAUAACAUUGCAGUUUCGCAUGAAACAGCAAUUAAAGGAGCAAUCCGCUAUGAGAUGGGCCCGCGGCGCAUUAGCUAGUUGGUGAGGUAACGGCUCACCAAGGCGACGAUGCGUAGCCGACCUGAGAGGGUGAUCGGCCACAUUGGGACUGAGACACGGCCCAGACUCCUACGGGAGGCAGCAGUGGGGAAUAUUGCACAAUGGGGGAAACCCUGAUGCCAGCAACGCCGCGUGAGUGAUGACGGCCUUCGGGUUGUAAAGCUCUGUCUUCAGGGACGAUAAUGACGGUACCUGAGGAGGAAGCCACGGCUAACUACGUGCCAGCCGCCGC